CAGUGGGGAAUAUUGCACAAUGGGCGCAAGCCUGAUGCAGCCAUGCCGCGUGUGUGAAGAAGGCCUUCGGGUUGUAAAGCACUUUCAGUUGUGAGGAAGUGGUGUCGUUAAUAGCGGCAUCAUUUGACGUUAGCAACAGAAGAAGCACCGGCUAACUCCGUGCCAGCAGCCGCGGUAAUACGGAGGGUGCGAGCGUUAAUCGGAAUUACUGGGCGUAAAGCGCAUGCAGGUGGUUUGUUAAGUCAGAUGUGAAAGCCCGGGGCUCAACCUCGGAACUGCAUUUGAAACUGGCAGACUAGAGUACUGUAGAGGGGGUAGAAUUUCAGGUGUAGCGGUGAAAUGCGUAGAGAUCUGAAGGAAUACCGGUGGCGAAGGCGGCCCCCUGGACAGAUACUGACACUCAGAUGCGAAAGCGUGGGGAGCAAACAGGAUUAGAUACCCUGGUAG
RNAcentral lists this ribosomal RNA (447 nucleotides) under uncultured bacterium. RNAcentral's name for it is "bacterial SSU rRNA". It matches the Rfam family "Bacterial small subunit ribosomal RNA", at positions 352 to 793 of the family's 1533-position model. The record is from RNAcentral.